CGUGUAGGCGGCCAACCAAGUCGGGUGUGAAAGCCCUCGGCUCAACCGAGGAAGUGCGCCCGAAACUAGCUGGCUUGAGUACCAGAGAGGGUGGCGGAAUUCCCGGUGUAGAGGUGAAAUUCGUAGAUAUCGGGAGGAACACCAGCGGCGAAGGCGGCCACCUGGAUGGAUACUGACGCCGAGACGCGAAAGCGUGGGGAGCAAACA
Molecule: ribosomal RNA, 207 nt
Filed under: uncultured delta proteobacterium
Lineage: Bacteria; Deltaproteobacteria
Description: partial 16S ribosomal RNA
Rfam family: Bacterial small subunit ribosomal RNA
Source: RNAcentral